RNAcentral lists this unclassified non-coding RNA (240 nucleotides) under soil metagenome. Its description in RNAcentral is "partial contains 5.8S ribosomal RNA, internal transcribed spacer 2, and large subunit ribosomal RNA". The record is from RNAcentral.
AACCAUAGAAACCUGCGGAGUACCUGCGGAGGGAUCAUUACAGAGUUCGUGCCCUCGCGGGUAGAUCUCCCACCCUUGUGUAUUUUCUACAUCUUGUUGCUUUGGCAGGCCGUUGGUUCGCCAACCACCGGCUCGCGGGCUGGUGCGUGCCUGCCAGAGGACCUCUCAAACUCGGUUUGUUAGUGUCGUCUGAGUACCAUAACAAUCGUUAAAACUUUUAACAAUGGAUCUCAGAUCGGA